GGGCAGGUAGCUCAGUCGGUUAGAGCGCUACGCUCACAUCGUAGAGGUCGGGGGUUCGAGUCCCUUCCUGCCCACCA
RNAcentral lists this transfer RNA (77 nucleotides) under Porphyromonadaceae bacterium. RNAcentral's name for it is "tRNA-Val". It matches the Rfam family "tRNA". Rfam says of the family: Transfer RNA (tRNA) molecules are approximately 80 nucleotides in length. Lineage: Bacteria; Pseudomonadati; Bacteroidota; Bacteroidia; Bacteroidales; Porphyromonadaceae. The record is from RNAcentral.